Molecule: ribosomal RNA, 251 nt
Filed under: uncultured bacterium
Lineage: Bacteria
Description: partial 16S ribosomal RNA
Rfam family: Bacterial small subunit ribosomal RNA
Source: RNAcentral
ACGUAGGGGGCGAGCGUUAUCCGGAUUCAUUGGGCGUAAAGCGCGCGCAGGCGGCCUCUCAAGCGGCACCGUCGAAGCCGGGGGCUCAACCCCCGGAAGCGGGCCGAACUGGGGGGCUCGAGGCAGGCAGAGGAAGGCGGAAUUCCCGGUGUAGCGGUGGAAUGCGCAGAUAUCGGGAAGAACACCGACGGCGAAGGCAGCCUUCUGGGCCUGUCCUGACGCUCAGGCGCGAAAGCCGGGGGAGCGAACAG